RNAcentral lists this non-coding RNA (44 nucleotides) under Schistosoma curassoni. Lineage: Eukaryota; Metazoa; Platyhelminthes; Trematoda; Strigeidida; Schistosomatidae. The record is from RNAcentral.
AUGCAGCUGACGAGUCCCAAAUAGGACGAAGCGCACGCCAUGAU